Astatotilapia calliptera (eastern happy) is the source of this 1251-nucleotide long non-coding RNA. The record is from Ensembl. Lineage: Eukaryota; Metazoa; Chordata; Actinopteri; Cichliformes; Cichlidae.
UUGGGUUGUUUGGAAGCCAGCCCUUAAGGGGGGGGGUACUGUUAGGAUGCCUGGGUCGUCGACCCAGGGUUUUUGAGUUUUUGAUAUUAUUUAUACUUCCUAGUUUUUGGUUUCUUUGAGUUCCGUCUUAUGGCUUAUGUCUCUGUCGUCUUUAGUUGCUCUGUCUCCCCUAUCACCUGCAUCCCCUUGUCUAGUUCGCGUCUAUGUGUAUCUUAAGUUCCUAUAUCCCCGUGUUCAGUCAGUGUUUGUGUCUGCCCUGUUCCCACGUCUCUGUUCCCUUUUGUGUUCAGUUUAUGCUUCUUUGGUCUCGUCAGUUCUGAUUUGCCCCAGCUGUGUUUCCCUCCUGUUACCCAUUCCCUGAUUGCGCCCUCUGUGUAUUUAAGCCCUGUGUUUCUCUGUGUCCGUGUCGCGAUCUACCGUUUUCCUAGCUGUGUGUUCUGUCAUUCCUCCAGUUUAAGUUUGUUUUGAGUUUUUUUUUUUUCAGUUAUAUUUUUGAGUACCAAAGUAAAGCCUUUUUGAGUUCACCUCUGUCUCCGGAGUCUGCACCUUGGGUCCUAUUCCUGCCUGCACACAGCCACACCUAACAAUUUGUUGUCUCCCUCACUUUGCUGAAGAGCGCGAGCAUGUUGGAGGAGAAUUCUCAUUUGGCCUGCAUUCAAUCAUCUCCUAUUGUAAGACCCAAUGAAAGCUCCACUGAUGCUAAAACAUGAAGCUAUGGCUCUGUUUUGUGGUGCAAGCAGCAAAGCAGAUCAAAUUCUCAGGCAAAGAAGAAAUGCAGAGUUUGUCUCCCUGCAAACCCUUAUGUCCCAGAAUUAAGUUUGUUUAAACAUAGUGAUGUUAAAAUGUCACGUGCGACGGCUUAUUAUCGCUUGUGUCCUGCUUUAAACCUUCUCUUCAUCAUUCUGCUCUUUAAAUCUAGUCUCUUCAUUUCUUCAUCUUUAUUCCCAAUUUUCAUUUUCUUGAUUAUGUCUCCAUUCAGCUCCUCCCCCCCAUCACCUUCUCUGGCAGGCGUUAGUCUAAAUGAGGGUGAUUUAUUAUCGCGUUUCUCCUUUCCUACUGAAGCACCAUUACUGCAGACGCCUCGCCAGAAACACAAAGGCUCACUAGGAUUUUACAAUUCCCAGCGCACAUACUAAUUCAUAUACAGAAUACAGAAUGAGAUCAUGUAAAGAAGUUCCUACACAGAGCUUCAAAAUACGCCGUUUGCACACAAUGAUGUGCAAGUAUGCAUGCUGGCUGACACACUCUUAU